This 413-nucleotide ribosomal RNA is filed under the name uncultured bacterium. Its description in RNAcentral is "bacterial SSU rRNA". It matches the Rfam family "Bacterial small subunit ribosomal RNA", at positions 505 to 916 of the family's 1533-position model. The record is from RNAcentral.
GUGCCAGCCGCCGCGGUAAUACGUAGGUGGCGAGCGUUGUCCGGAAUUACUGGGUGUAAAGGGCGUGUAGGCGGGGAUGCAAGUCAGAUGUGAAAUACCGCGGCUUAACCGCGGGGCUGCAUCUGAAACUGUGUCUCUUGAGUGUCGGAGAGGAAAGCGGAAUUCCCAGUGUAGCGGUGAAAUGCGUAGAGAUUGGGAGGAACACCGGUGGCGAAGGCGGCUUUCUGGACGACAACUGACGCUGAGGCGCGAAAGCGUGGGGAGCAAACAGGAUUAGAUACCCUGGUAGUCCACGCCGUAAACGAUGGAUACUAGGUGUAGGAGGUAUCGACCCCUUCUGUGCCGGAGUUAACACAAUAAGUAUCCCACCUGGGGAGUACGGCCGCAAGGUUGAAACUCAAAUAAAUUGACGG